GAUCUGGAUCUAGGGUUUUUCUCCAUCACGUUUCUACUACUCCAAUUCCUCAUGGAAAUCAUACAGUCCUCUCAAAAUCAAACAGUCCUCUCAAAAUCAAACUCAAGUCUAGGUUUUGAACGUCACGGAGAGUUGAAGAUGAUGCAAGCAGCUGUUUUAAUUGGUGGUGGUUAGCAACGAUAGAGAUGGUGGUGGUCUGCAGCGUAUGGUGUUAAUGGUUAGCGUCAACAGAUUCUGGUGACCCAACCUAGGGUUUAAAGCAUCGACCAGAUUCUGGUAGCCCUAUCUAGGGUUCUGACCAUAACCCCAAUCCGGUGAAAGCUGUAGAUCUGAUUAAUGAAGAUAUUCUAAAAGAACAAAAUAUGUGAAGAAAGAGUAUAAGGAAAUCCAGGAGGGUAGUUCUCUUUUUAUACAACUACUGUAGUUGUUCAGCAUAACCCCCCCCCCCACACACACACACACAUGUGAGAGGUGAUAUUGGCCCGUUUACCUUUAAAAUGGGUCGAUUUGGGUUCAGUUUUGGUGGGCUGAGUUGCAGGUCACAAGGUAGAGGUUGUGGUGAUAUUUGUGCAGUUCAGAACAGGUCAGGUUGGGGUAUUGGGACCUGGAUGUGGGGAAGAUGAGUCGUUUCUGAUGGUCAAUCUACUGCUUAUAGAAGUUAUGUUGAAAGGUUCAUGGCCCUUGAUGAACUUUAGUCUGUUCCAAACUCAAAGAGCCUGAAGAUCGGUGACCUUUGGUGGCAAUGGUCAUGAAGAAGCUAUGGUAGCAGUCGGAAUCAAGACUAGAUGGAAGUGGUUUUGGGUUGCUAGGGUUCUGUCAUGAACCCAGGCAGUGCUGACACCUUAGAAGAGCUCGAAGAUGAUUAGGGGUUAAUUCCAGGUAGUCAAGAACAUAAUAAGAUCGAUGGCUCCUUUCAUCCAGUUUCGGUCGUUCAUCGGGUGCCGCUACGAAACCAAAGACGGUUGGGCAUUGUCUCUUCACUCUUGAAUUAUCAUUCGUAGCCUUUAUCCAGUUUCUGUUUGUCGAUUUGUAUGGUCGUGGAUUUGGCAAUUAACACUAACUAAAACAAUGCCGGCUAUUAUGGUAUGUCUCCAGGUCUGAUUCCUUUCAUUGCUGAUAUACAUUCUGAACACAGGUAACUUUAAUUUCAAUCAUUAGUGCAGCAGUCCGGUUUGUCGAUUGUUCAUUGUUACCGUCUAUUGGUUUUUAGAUACUAUUUUCUAAGCGUGUUUGGUUGAUUGAAUAGACUUGAUUUAGAGUUUGGGCAAAGGGGUUGUUUUGUGAUUUUUCUAUUAUGUAAUGUUAUAAUAUGAUUUGAAGUUACUAAGUUCAAUACAAAAUUUUGGGUUAUAAAUUAGCUAAACUGUCGUUUGGAAUGGUCUAUUUGUCGACUGCUUAUUCGGAUUGAUUAUCUGCUUAUUGUGUUUUGAUGCAGAAAUAACAUGUUUUGAGGGCGUUUGGAUUGGUUAAUUAAACUUUCUUAUGUGUUUAGUUGUGAGUGAAAUAAAAGUUAUUUUCAACACGCGGUUUGAAGUUGUUUAUUCCAAAUUGCUUAUUAUAACCGGAUAAAAAGUUUUAAUAGGUAAUCCCAAACACCUGUAGUGUUGAAUUGUGUUUAACUAUGAACUGUUGGUUCUGGUGCAGUGGAUAGAUAAGGAAGGAUAGACUGCAGAUGGAGCUGAUGCAGAUGAAGAUAGAAUUGAAUUGCUACUGAAGGAAGGCAAGGGUAAAGAUACCGUAGAACUAAUUACUUCGGGAAGGGAAAAGUUUGCUUCAGUUUCGUUCCAUCUGGUGGUGGUGGUGUUGCAGUUGCUGGUGGUGUUGUGCUUGCUGUUGUUACUGUAGCUGAGGCAGAGAAGGAGGAGAAGGCUGAAGAUAAGAGGAAUAUGAUGUUGUAAGCUUCUUUAACAUUUUAUGUGUUUUCUUCAGUUUUAGUAUUUUUUUCGGAUCACAUGUUCCAAGUUUUAUUCGUUAAAGAUAUUCUGGUAUAUAUUCAAUAGGAAAUAUAAUUAUCAAGU
This 2018-nucleotide long non-coding RNA is filed under the name Helianthus annuus (common sunflower). Lineage: Eukaryota; Viridiplantae; Streptophyta; Magnoliopsida; Asterales; Asteraceae. The record is from RNAcentral.